GUGCUCACUUCGGCAGCACAUAUACUAAAAUUGGAACGAUACAGAGAAGAUUAGCAUGGCCCCUGUGCAAGGAUGACAUGGAAAUUCAUGAAGCAUUCUAUAUUUUU
Pongo abelii (Sumatran orangutan) is the source of this 107-nucleotide small nuclear RNA. The record is from Ensembl. Lineage: Eukaryota; Metazoa; Chordata; Mammalia; Primates; Hominidae.